AAAAGGAAAUGCUUCAGAACACUGUAACAGAAAUAAAGAAUGCCUUUGAUGGGCUGUUAGUAGACUGGACACAGCUGAGGAAAGAAUCUCUGAGCUAGAGGACAUAGCCAAUAGAAACCUCCCAAACUGAAAAGCAAUGACAACAAAGACUGAAAUAAAACAGAAAAGAAUACCCCAGGACUGUGGGAUAACUACUGAAGUUGUAACAUAUGUGUAAUGGGAAUUCCAGAAGGAGAAGAAAGAGAGAAAUGAAUGGAAGAAAUACUUGAAACAACAAUAACUGAGAAUUUCCCCAAAUUGAUGGCAGACACCAAACCACGGAUCCAGGAAGCUCAGAGAACACAAAGCAGGAUAAAUUAAAAAACAAAACAAAACAAAACAAUGACACCUAGGCAUAGCAUUUUCAAACUAUAGAUAAUCAAAGAUAAGGGAAAAAAUCCUGAAAGAAGCCAGAGGAAAGAAACACCUUACACCUGACUUCUCAGAAACCAUGCAAGCAAGAGAAGGAGUGAAACAUUUAAAGUGUUGAGAGAAAAAACUCACCAAUCUAGAAUUCUGUAUUCCACAAAAUUAUCCUUCCAAAAUGGAGAAAUAAAAAAAUAUUGAGGAAAUCUGUUGCCAGUAGACCUGCCUUGCGAGAAAUAUUAAAAGAAGUUCUUUAGAGAGAAGGAAAAAUAAAAUAGGUCAGAAACCUGUAUCUACAUAUAUAAAGGAAGAGCACUGAAAAAGGAAUAAACAAAGAGAUUGGCUGGGGGUUCAUCAAACUGAUCCAUUUCCCGAACUGCGAGCAGAAGUGAGGUGAGCCAGCUCCAGUCUCCUCUCCGGUCUGUCACCACCACCCUGAAGCUUCAUGUUGAAGACGAAGGGCCGCACAGAAGGGGUCCCGGUCCGAGUCACUGCUCAGGGGAGAGCUGCCCGAUGAUCAAGAAUAUCUGUUUGGACGUGAGCGAGUUUGGGCUAUGCAACAGGUCCUGACCUGGCCUGUUAAGUAUGCAUUGGACAUCUGCUUUAAACAUUCACAUGUCCCAAGGCCAAGAAUGAUGCCCUUAACGACAGGGACGUAGCUUUCCGACCUCCAUAUCGGCAUUUCCUUAAGGAUAAGCAUCUCUUCCUGGAAACUGAGGAUUAAUUACCGACCUGCUGUGCUCACCUUGUGACCUCUGACCUGCUGUGCUGUGACUGUUGUAAAAGAGAUAUUCCUGUGAUAUGUGAUGUCUGCUCUUUGCUUCAAGACGAUAUAUAACCGCUCUGUACACCCCACUUCUUGGGCGUUUUUCCUUAUAAAUCAAGGAUUAUGGAUUAUUUGUAUCGACAAUAGUAAUUACACUGCAA
RNAcentral lists this long non-coding RNA (1332 nucleotides) under Equus asinus (donkey). RNAcentral's name for it is "lncRNA (ENSEASG00005029872.1)". Lineage: Eukaryota; Metazoa; Chordata; Mammalia; Perissodactyla; Equidae. The record is from RNAcentral.